This 486-nucleotide ribosomal RNA is filed under the name uncultured bacterium. RNAcentral's name for it is "partial 16S ribosomal RNA". It matches the Rfam family "Bacterial small subunit ribosomal RNA", at positions 28 to 507 of the family's 1533-position model. The record is from RNAcentral.
GAUGAACGCUAGCGGCAGGCUUAACACAUGCAAGUCGAGGGGCAGCGCGGGAUAGCAAUAUCCUGGCGGCGACCGGCGGAAGGGUGCGUAACGCGUGAGCGACAUGCCCGUUGCCCGGGGACAACCGGUGGAAACGCCGACUAAUCCCCGAUGGGAUAUUGUGCCGCAUGGCACGAUAUUGAAAGUUACGGCGGCGACGGAUUGGCUCGCGUCCGAUUAGCUGGUUGGCGGGGUAACGGCCCACCAAGGCUGCGAUCGGUAGGGGUUCUGAGAGGAAGGCCCCCCACAAUGGGACUGAGACACGGCCCAUACUACUACGGGAGGCAGCAGUGAGGAAUAUUGGUCAAUGGGCGGAAGCCUGAACCAGCCAGGCCGCGUGCGGGAAGGAGGCCCUAUGGGCUGUGAACCGCUUUUGCCUGGGGGCAAUAAGGGCGUCGCGCACGUCCGAUGAGAGUACCAGGCGAAUAAGCAUCGGCUAACUCCGUG